RNAcentral lists this ribosomal RNA (253 nucleotides) under uncultured prokaryote. RNAcentral describes it as "partial 16S ribosomal RNA". It matches the Rfam family "Bacterial small subunit ribosomal RNA", at positions 524 to 776 of the family's 1533-position model. The record is from RNAcentral.
UACGUAGGGUGCGAGCGUUAAUCGGAAUUACUGGGCGUAAAGCGUGCGCAGGCGGCGCGUUAAGACAGGUGUGAAAGCCCCGAGCUUAACUUGGGAAUUGCGCUUGUGACUGGCGUGCUGGAGUGUGGCAGAGGGAGGUGGAAUUCCACGUGUAGCAGUGAAAUGCGUAGAGAUGUGGAGGAACACCUGUGGCGAAAGCGGCUCACUGGACCACAACUGACGCUGAGGCGCGAAAGCUAGGGGAGCAAACAGG